This 258-nucleotide long non-coding RNA is filed under the name Ficedula albicollis (Collared flycatcher). RNAcentral's name for it is "lncRNA (ENSFALG00000023131.1)". The record is from RNAcentral. Lineage: Eukaryota; Metazoa; Chordata; Aves; Passeriformes; Muscicapidae.
AUGUUGAUGUUACAGCCAGAACCUCAGAAACAGCUUGAGAACUUGUGUAGCCUGACUUUUCUAGUGGAUCAAUCUCUUCAAAAACAAGAUCAAUGGAGCAUCCAUGUCAUUGCAAAGGUAGAAGUGACGUUUUCACCCUGCCUGGAAUAAAGCAAGAGCAGUGCGUGUGUCCGUGCUGAGCUUUACCCGCCCUGGCGUGACUGCAGAUCCUGUCCUGUCCCACCCCAUCAUCCCGAGCGAACAGCCUCCGGCCCAUUU